Molecule: transfer RNA, 69 nt
Filed under: Marmota monax (woodchuck)
Lineage: Eukaryota; Metazoa; Chordata; Mammalia; Rodentia; Sciuridae
Rfam family: tRNA
About the family: Transfer RNA (tRNA) molecules are approximately 80 nucleotides in length. Their secondary structure includes four short double-helical elements and three loops (D, anti-codon, and T loops). Further hydrogen bonds mediate the characteristic L-shaped molecular structure. tRNAs have two regions of fundamental functional importance: the anti-codon, which is responsible for specific mRNA codon recognition, and the 3' end, to which the tRNAs corresponding amino acid is attached (by aminoacyl-tRNA synthetases). tRNAs cope with the degeneracy of the genetic code in two manners: having more than one tRNA (with a specific anti-codon) for a particular amino acid; and 'wobble' base-pairing, i.e. permitting non-standard base-pairing at the 3rd anti-codon position.
Source: Rfam by way of RNAcentral
GGAGUUGUGGCUCAGCGGUAGGGCGCUCACCUAGCAUGUGUGAGGUCCUGGGUUCAAUCCUCAGUACCA